GUAAUCUGUGCAAUCACAGGGGAGAGUAUGCAAGAAUAGCAUUUUCAAGAGAAGCACAAAGAGCUUCUCCAUUUCUGAGUUGAGUAUAAACUGGCUUCCUGUUGUCAGUGACCACAAAUACUGAACCUGUGAGUGACAGGGUGAGCCCCUGGCUCUUCACAUUCAGGAAGAUGUCCCUGUGCACCCACAAUGGAGAGGAAUGAUACUGGUGAUCUGCUGCUCUGUGCUAAGUGUUCCCAGAACUUGGAGACUGAGUGUGCACAUCUGCUGGAAGUCUUCUGGGAUUCAAGGCACAGGAGUUUUACAGAAUGAAGAGUAGUUUUUCAGAAAAAAGAGGACAGUAUUGGGAUCAUCUUUGACCUGUUCGAUUGGAAAUAAUAGCUUCCACUGAGGUACAGAAAGUUGGAAAACUUUUAUUCAGAACAAUGAAUUUUAUAGACGAGAAUCGUCAAGACCUCAUUCAAAGGAUGGGGAUGACUGUUAUAAAACAAAUUACGGAUGAUCUGUAUGGGUGGAAUGUUCUGAAUCUUGAAGAAGCCGAAACGGUUUACUGCGAGAAGGUUGAGCAGGAUGCUGCGAGAAAGAUCAUUCCCAUGAUUCUGAAGAAAGGUUCCGAGUCCUGUAACCUCUUUCUUAAAUCCCUUAAAAAGUGGAACCCUCCUCUAUUUCAGGACUUGAAUGGACAAAGUCUAACAGGUCUUUGUCUUCAGAUAUCAGAAGGAGACCUGGAUGAUUUGGCUCAGGAUUUAAAGGACUUAUACCAUGCCCCCUCUUUUCUGAACUUUUAUCCCCUGGGGGAAGAUAUUGACAUUAUUUUUAAUUUGAAAAGUACCUUCACAGAACCCGUGUUGUGGAGGAAGGACCGACACCAUCAUCGUGUGGAGCAGCUGAGCCUGGGUGGUCUGCUGGAGACCCUUCAGAGCCCCUGCAUUAUCGAGGGGGAAUCGGGCAAAGGAAAGUCCACUCUGCUGCAGCGGAUCGCCAUGCUCUGGGCCUCUGGGGAGUGCAGGGCUCUGAGCAAUUUCAAAUUUGUCUUCUUUAUCCGUCUAAGCAGGGCCCAGGGCGGACUCUUUGAAACCCUGUGUGAUCAGCUCCUGGAUAUACCUGAUACCAUCGGGAAGCAGACUUUCCCGGCCAUGCUGCUAAAGCUACGGCAGAGGGUUCUUUUUCUCUUAGAUGGCUACAAUGAGUUCAACUCCCAGAACUGUCCAGAAAUCGAAGCCCUGAUAAAGGAAAACCAUCGCUACAAGAACAUGGUCAUAGUUACCACCACCACCGAGUGCCUGAGGCACAUCAGGCAGUUUGGUGCCCUGAUUGCUGAGGUAGGGGAUAUGACAGAGGACAGUGCCCAGGUACUUAUCCGAGAAGUGCUGAUAAAGGAGUUGGCGGAGGGCUUAUUGCUCCAAAUUCAGAAAUCCAGAUGCUUGAGGAAUCUGAUGAAGACCCCUCUCUUUGUGGUCAUCACUUGUGCAAUCCAGAUGGGUGAAAGUGAGUUCCACUCUUACACCCAAACCACACUGUUCCGUACCUUCUAUGACCUGCUGAUUCAUAAAAACAAGCACAAACAUAAAGGCAUGUCUGCAAGGGACUUCACUCGGAGCCUGGAGCACUGUGGAGACCUGGCUCUGGAGGGUGUCUUCUCCCAUAGGUUUGAUUUUCAACCAGAGGACAUGUCCCUUGUGAAUGAGAGUGUCCUACUGACAACCGGACUGCUCUGUAAGUACACAGCUCAAAGGUUCAAGCCAAAGUACAAAUUCUUCCAUAAAUCAUUCCAGGAGUACACAGCCGGACGAAGACUCAGCUCAUUAUUGAUGUCUCGUGAGCCAGAGGAGGUGGCCAAAGGCAACAGUUACUUGCAGAAAAUGGUUUCUAUUUCAGACAUUACGUCCAUCUAUAGCAACCUGCUCCUGUACACGUGCGGAUCAUCAGUCGAAGCCACCAGGGCCAUUAUGAAACACCUUGCAGCUGUGUAUGAACACGGCAACCUUGUUGGACUUGCCGUCACCAAGAGGCCUCUGUGGAGGCAGGAAUCCUUGCAAAAUCCAAAAAACACCACUGAGCAAGAAAUUCUGAAAGCCGUAAACAUCAGUUCCUUUGCAGAGUGUGGCGUCAAUUUAUUCCAUGAGAGCAUAUCCAAAUCAGCCCUGAGCCAAGAGUUUGAAGAUUUCUUUAGAGGCAAAAGCUUGUAUAUUAAUGCAGAGAACAUCCCUGAUUACUUAUUUGACUUCUUUGAACACUUGCCCAAUUGUGCAAGUGCUCUGGACUUCAUUAAACUGGACUUCUACGGAGGAGAAACAGCAUCACAGUCCGAGACGGCCGAAGACACAGGCAGAAUCCCUACGGAACGGUCCUCCAAAACCUACAUUCCCAGUAGGGCUGUAUCUUUGUUCUUCAACUGGAAGCAGAAAUUCAAAAGCCUGGAGGUCACACUGAGGGAUUUCAGCAAGUUGAAUAAGCAAGAUGUUAAAUAUCUGGGAAAGAUAUUUAGCUCAGCCACAAGCCUCAGGCUGUCCAUUAAAAAAUGUGCAGGGGUGGCUGGAAGCCUCAGUUUGGUCCUCAGUACCUAUAAGGACAUCCAUUCUCUUAUGGUGGAAGCCAGUCCCCUCACCAUCGAAGACGAGAAGCAUAUCACGUCUGUGACAAACCUGGAGACUUUGAGUAUUCACAACCUACAGACUCAACGCCUGCCAGGUGGUCUGACUGACAGCUUGGGUAAUUUGAAGAACCUUACAAAGCUCGUAUUGGAUAACCUUGUGAUGAAUGAAGACGAUUGUAUAAAACUAGCUGAGGGUUUGAAAAACCUGAGAAAGAUGUGUUUGUUUUGUUUGACUCGCUUGUCUGACAUCGGGGAGGGAAUGGAUUACAUAAUCAGGUCUUUAUCAAGGGAACCCUGUGACCUUGAAGAAAUCCAAUUAGUCUCCUGCUGCCUGUCUGCAAAUGCUGUGAAAACCCUAGCUCAGAAUCUUCACAAUUUGGUCAAACUGAAUGUUCUCGAUUUAUCAGAAAACCACCUGGAAGAUGGAAAUAAAGCUCUACAUGAACUGAUCGACAGGCUGAACGUGCUGGAGCAGUUGACUGCACUGAUGCUCCCCUGGUGCCACGGCGCACGAGACAACCUGCCUCGCCUGUUGGAGCAACUGGAAGAGGCACCGCAGGUCGUCAAGCUGGGGUUGAAAGACUGGAGACUCGGAGAUGAAGACAUUAUCAUUUUAGGUACAUUUUUUGAAAAGAAGCCUCUGAAAAACUUACAGCUGUUGGAUUUGGCGGGAAAUUGUGUGAGCAGUGAUGGAUGGCUUGCCUUCAUGGGUCUAAUUCAGGAGGACCUCAAAGACAAAUGUAGCAAGCUACUCAGUGAUGAUUAGAUACUUUUAAAAAAAGAGAGAGAGAGAGAUUCAUGAAGAAGGAAGAUAGAAAUAACAUUAUGAAGCAAGGCAGAAUGGUACUGAGAUACGGUAUGUGCAUUUGCGAUGGCAGCUUUUGAACUACCCCAAAUAUCUCCAUAAAAACAGAUUAAACAGGACCAGCAGGCAGUGUGGCGGAUAAAGGCGCUGGAUGCCCACAUGGCUGACCAUGCA
RNA transcript from Tupaia belangeri chinensis (Chinese tree shrew), 3575 nucleotides. It is a transcript of the gene named NLR family CARD domain containing 4, with no coding region annotated. The record is from RefSeq and is a predicted model, not a curated record. NCBI's taxonomy places the organism in Eukaryota, Metazoa, Chordata, Mammalia, Scandentia, Tupaiidae. The transcript has 12 exons.